RNAcentral lists this ribosomal RNA (330 nucleotides) under uncultured Alkalilimnicola sp. Its description in RNAcentral is "bacterial SSU rRNA". It matches the Rfam family "Bacterial small subunit ribosomal RNA", at positions 49 to 358 of the family's 1533-position model. The record is from RNAcentral. Lineage: Bacteria; Pseudomonadati; Pseudomonadota; Gammaproteobacteria; Chromatiales; Ectothiorhodospiraceae.
UAACACAUGCAAGUCGAGCGGCAGCAGGCCCUUCGGGGUGCUGGCGAGCGGCGGACGGGUGAGUAACGCGUGGGAAUCUACCCUUCGGUGGGGGAUAGCCCGGGGAAACCCGGAUUAAUACCGCAUACGCCCUACGGGGGAAAGCGGCCCUCUGAUACAAGGUCGCGCCGAUGGAUGAGCCCGCGUUUGAUUAGCUUGUUGGUGGGGUAAAGGCCUACCAAGGCGACGAUCAGUAGUUGGUCUGAGAGGACGGUCAGCCACACUGGGACUGAGACACGGCCCAGACUCCUACGGGAGGCAGCAGUGGGGAAUUCGCCCGCCGCGCCCAGC